UAAGUAAGACGUGAAAUCGUACGGCUCAACCGUAUAUACAUGUUUAAACUGGUGAACUAGAGGAUGAGAGAGGUUAUUGGAAUUUCUAGUGUAGGAGUGAAAUCCGUAGAUAUUAGAGGGAACACCGAUGGCGUAGGCAGAUAACUGGCUCAUUUCUGACACUUAGGCACGAAAGCGUGGGGAGCGAACGGGAUUAGAUACCCCGGUAGUCCACGCCGUAAACUAUGGAUGCUA
This 234-nucleotide ribosomal RNA is filed under the name uncultured Candidatus Saccharibacteria bacterium. RNAcentral describes it as "partial 16S ribosomal RNA". It matches the Rfam family "Bacterial small subunit ribosomal RNA", at positions 584 to 818 of the family's 1533-position model. The record is from RNAcentral. Lineage: Bacteria; Candidatus Saccharimonadota.